ACUUACCAUGUUACGAUUGCCUCCCCUUGGUUCCUAGUAAUUCACACUAUAUUGUAUACGGUGGGAGAGUACGGGCGGUGUGUGCGCGCUUUAGGGCCAGUUUCAGCAGGACUCUCUAUUUGCUGCUUACUGCUAAAUCCUCCUUCUAAUACUUUUUCAUUAUAUUGUUCGUGGUGCCUUAAAGUAAGGAAUGUAGCCAUUUCUUCCCCUCUGCAUUUGCUACACCUCGACCUGACGUUUUAAGUACUACUGACUUUGCUUACUACGAAUCCUUCACAGGGUAAGCUGACGACGGCGGUAUAUAGGCGGGAAGAACAAGAGAGGGUGAGGUUUAACGGGGGGUAUCGGUUCUAGAACAGGCUCCUUUAGGUGGGUUUAAAGCACCGCCAAGUCCUUUGGGUUUUAAGCUUAUGCUCGUAGUACCCGGGCGGAUGAUCAAGUGAUGUUCAUCAAGGUUUACUUCUAUGCAUAGUGGGGUAUCUAAUCCCAGUUUGUUUCAUAGCUUUCGUGGGCUCAUUUAAUUUAAGGUCACCUUCGUAGUUGGGCUUCUCACUUCCGAUUGCGUAUAACAGCUUUGAAAGCAUUUAACCUUAUUAAGUCAUUAACUAACCACGCUUUACGCCGGAGUCUGUCAGCUUGAACCUCUCGUAUAACCGCGGUG
Molecule: ribosomal RNA, 661 nt
Filed under: Oryzias javanicus (javanese ricefish)
Lineage: Eukaryota; Metazoa; Chordata; Actinopteri; Beloniformes; Adrianichthyidae
Description: partial 12S ribosomal RNA
Source: RNAcentral